CACGUGCCCUGCUUCUCCAAC
RNAcentral lists this microRNA (21 nucleotides) under Corchorus olitorius. RNAcentral describes it as "zma-miR164f-". Lineage: Eukaryota; Viridiplantae; Streptophyta; Magnoliopsida; Malvales; Malvaceae. RNAcentral also lists the same sequence under 1 other name. The record is from RNAcentral.